CAACUCCAUUUCAUCAGUUCCACUUCUUAAUGCAUCUCGUCUCCUCCAACUAUAUAUUAACCCAGAUAGAGCACUUUCCUUCUGCAUCAAACUCGCACUUCCAAAAUCUUGCACAUUUCUUUCAGCAAUACUUUCCAUUUGAACGAAUCUCAAACCAAAAUGGCAAAACCUCUCUGUGCAAUCACGAGAGCACUCAAAGACAACUUCUACUUGCUCCUUUUAGCUAUGACUAUCUCUUGUAACUGCUCAGCAAGAAUCCUUGAUGAGGUGGAACCACAAGAUCCUAUCAUUGUGGACCCACCUGCCACAUCAACUUUCCCUCCAACUACUACAUUACCAAGUGGCCAAGCUCCGGCCAUUGUCGCCCACACUUCCACUGGCGAUGAUGAGGUUGACCCACCACUUCCUGAAGCUGAAGUCCCCACAACUGUGGCAGCACCGGAUACUGAUGUUGAAGCACCAGAAAUUGAUGCUGCACCCAUAACUCCUCCUGUCACGGUGGCAGCGCCAAUUCCGGUUCCCACUACCGUCGCUACAAGUGGCACAGGGGCAAAUCCUGUUGGCUCACAAACCACUAGCACUACGGCUGCUACCACAGCCACUGCUGCUCCAUUGUCGUUCUUCAUGCAUGACAUUUUGGGAGGAACACACCCAUCAGUCAGGGUGGUCACGGGAAUCAUUGCCCGGACCGACAUCAAUGGCAUUCCAUUCUCAGUACCCAACAACAAUUUCUUCCCACUUCAAGGUGGGACUCCAUUACCCAACGUUAACAACAUUAACAACCUCAUAAACCCAAACACCGCCCCAUUGAUCACAGGCCUAAACCCGGGCCAAGCCAACACUGUACUUCAAAACAGUGGCAACAACAACGACGUUGUUAACGGCAACAACCAACCUUUUGUCACCGCCGGCCAGAUCCCGGCGGGGUCCACGCUGCAGAAAAUCAUGUUUGGGUCGAUCACGGUCAUCGAUGACGAGUUAACAGAAGGGCAUGAGUUGGGAUCUGCUGUACUAGGCAGGGCACAGGGUUUCUACUUGGCUAGCUUCCUGGAUGGUACCAGCCAUACCAUGGCAUUGACGAUUUUAUUGCACGGAGAGGAUAAGCAUGGAGUUGCUGAAGAUACUAUUAGUUUCUUUGGGGUACACAGGACUGCAUCGCCGGAGUCACAGAUUGCGGUGAUAGGUGGCACCGGAAAGUAUGAGAAUACAAAAGGGUAUGCCACCGUUGAGACUCUUCCUCAGUUGGAUCAGCACACGACGGACGGUGUGGACACGAUGAUGCAUUUCACUGUUUACCUGUCUGAGUAAAUUGUAUGCAUAUGCAUGCAUGUCAGUGUAUGGUUCUUAAUUUGGUUGAGUUGAUUAAUUAUUAUAGAUUAUGGUUCUGUUAUUGGCAAUUUCAGUGACCAUUUGAUGUAUCUUUGAAGAUAAAAUUAAGGAACAAGAAAUGAGAAAUGCUCCUGUGGAUUACAAGUACUGUUGGCUUUUAUUUGUUCAUAGGGAUGAAGACAUGAAGUUGCAGAAUUAGCAGAAUGUUUCUGUUUUAGUGCUGUAAAUGGAAAAUCAUUAGUACAAUUGAUAUGUGAUUGUGUUAAUUUCAAAUAAUUUGUGUUGUCCAAGAAAAAGAAACAUAUUCUAUUAUUGCAUAUCAAUAUGGCAUUUAUAGAUUAAGUGAGUGAACUGAU
This 1685-nucleotide unclassified non-coding RNA is filed under the name Hevea brasiliensis (rubber tree). The record is from RNAcentral. Lineage: Eukaryota; Viridiplantae; Streptophyta; Magnoliopsida; Malpighiales; Euphorbiaceae.